CAUCUUUCUGUCAACUUUUCUUGGGAAGGAAGCAUAUAUGUGACAACAUUUAAUUUUCCACCACUUCUGCAAUGUUCUUCUAACUGAGAAGUAGGAGAUGUCAUUUACUAGCAGGUCCUGGCUCCAUACUGCUAACUGUUUAAAGUAGUGGUAGAUUGCCUUCAGUUCUUCGUGGAUGUGACUGUCUGGCAAGGAGUGCUUGUCUUACUGCUGCUCUCAGUUACUCAAAAGGAAGAUCUGGUAUCAACACUGAACACUAGCUUUGGGAAUCCUGCUGUCUCGGAUCAGUAUAGGGAUAUAAGAUUGUGACUUUCCGGAGAUCUGGUAACAUUACACUUCCAGUGCAUUACUAAAACAAAACACAAGAUCCCUGAAAACUGAAAUAUGGUCAAGAAGAAAAACUGUCAAUUAAUUUAAGUGUAAAAGGAAAAUGUCACGGUAAAGUGGAUUGGCAUGAAGACUGUGGAUUUGGGCAGUCCAGUCAAGGCAGACAAUCACAAAGGGGAAGCAGAGGCCAUGUGAAGUUGCAGGGUCAAACAGUCUCAGGAUAUGGUCUGCAUGUUAGCACUGAGUCAUCCCCGGGGAUCCAGAAGAAUUCAUUUGGAGAAGAAAGCAGAAGAAGCUGCCCUGAGCCACCGCAAGUGAUCAAUCACAAUUACACUAGCAAGGAUGAACACUUAAGAGCCUGGUGCAAACCCCUGUGCUGCUGAAUGCUUCGACGAUGGUAUGCAAGAAAACAGGAAGUUUCAGGAGUCAGUCCUCCUGAGAUGGAGCCCCCAGCACAAGAAAUAAGUGGCCCUGUUGGAGAGAGUCUGGAGGAGGCCAUGAGGAUGCUCAGAAAGCUUAAGCACCUCUUCUUUGAAGGCUGAGGGAGCUGGACUUGUUCAGGUUGGGGAAGAGAAGUCUCUGUGGACACCUCAUUGUGGCCUUUCAGUGCUGAAAGAGAGCUUACAAGAAAGAUGGAGAGCAACUUUACAUGGACAUGUAGUGAUAAGACAAGGGCUUAUUCCUGCUUGGACAAAUGUUCCUUGUCAACUUCUUGAAAAAUAUGUGGACCAUACUGCAGGCUCUCUGUUGUCACAGCUAGCUGGUGGUGGUGUUCAGUCUAUCAUUUAAAGCCCGCUACCUGUUGGUCUGAUUCCCCAUACCAGGCAAGUGCUUGCUUCAUUUUGAAAAGAAAAAACAAAAUACCACACAACCCUAUCUUACUCAUGGUUUUUUGCUGCUCUGUCUAUUUUGCAGCACUCCAACCUCAGUUUAUAGUCUAGUUCAUAGCAACACAAGGAAAUAGCCUUGUACACUCAGGGCUGGAAAUGAUUAUGCGUAGUGUGUAUUUUAUCUGCAGUAACCAAAAGUCACGAUUAUUGGUGGGCUGUGUCACAUAACUUGGUAUCCCUUUGAUUCUUAAAGGGCAGGUAUUGAUAUUUCAGAAAGCAACCUUACUUUCAUGGGGCUAAUCAUCAGGUUUGCCAUAUGAAAGCCAGCUCUUUGUUAGACAUCUGAGAAACUGUGGC
RNAcentral lists this long non-coding RNA (1514 nucleotides) under Gallus gallus (chicken). RNAcentral's name for it is "lncRNA (ENSGALG00010004925.1)". Lineage: Eukaryota; Metazoa; Chordata; Aves; Galliformes; Phasianidae. The record is from RNAcentral.